UACGGAGGGUGCAAGCGUUAUCCGGAUUCACUGGGUUUAAAGGGAGCGUAGGUGGGUUGGUAAGUCAGUGGUGAAAUCCCCGAGCUUAACUUGGGAAUGGCAUUUGGGACUGCAAGGCUGGAGUUUGGCAGAGGAGAUUGGAAUUUACGGUGUAGCAGUGAAAUGCGUAGAUAUCGUAAGGAAGACCAGUGGCGAAGGCGGAUCUCUGGACAGUUACUGACACUGAGGCACGAAGGCCAGGGGAGCAAACGGG
Molecule: ribosomal RNA, 253 nt
Filed under: uncultured bacterium
Lineage: Bacteria
Description: partial 16S ribosomal RNA
Rfam family: Bacterial small subunit ribosomal RNA
Source: RNAcentral